This 460-nucleotide ribosomal RNA is filed under the name uncultured bacterium. RNAcentral describes it as "partial 16S ribosomal RNA". It matches the Rfam family "Bacterial small subunit ribosomal RNA", at positions 338 to 795 of the family's 1533-position model. The record is from RNAcentral.
CCUACGGGAGGCAGCAGUGAGGAAUAUUGGUCAAUGGGCGUAAGCCUGAACCAGCCAAGUCGCGUGAGGGAUGAAGGUUCUAUGGAUCGUAAACCUCUUUUAUAAGGGAAUAAAGUGUGGGUCGUGUCCUGUUUUGUAUGUACCUUAUGAAUAAGGAUCGGCUAACUCCGUGCCAGCAGCCGCGGUAAUACGGAGGAUCCGAGCGUCAUCCGGAUUUAUUGGGUUUAAAGGGUGCGUAGGCGGCCUUUUAAGUCAGCGGUGAAAGUCUGUGGCUCAACCAUAGAAUUGCCGUUGAAACUGGGAGGCUUGAGUAUGUUUGAGGCAGGCGGAAUGCGUGGUGUAGCGGUGAAAUGCUUAGAUAUCACGCAGAACCCCGAUUGCGAAGGCAGCCUGCCAAGCCAUGACUGACGCUGAUGCACGAAAGCGUGGGGAUCAAACAGGAUUAGAUACCCCGGUAGUC